CCUACGGGAGGCAGCAGUAGGGAAUAUUGCUCAAUGGGGGAAACCCUGAAGCAGCAACGCCGCGUGGAGGAUGAAGGUUUUAGGAUUGUAAACUUCUUUUGUGAGAGAAGAUAAUGACGGUAUCUAACGAAUAAGCACCGGCUAACUUCGUGCCAGCAGCGGCGGUAAUACGGAGGGUGCAAGCGUUAUUCGGAAUCACUGGGCGUAAGGGGUGCGCAGGCGGGCUUGUAAGUCAGAUGUGAAAUCCUGUAGCUUAACUACAGAACUGCAUUUGAAACUAUGAGUCUAGAGUGUGGGAGAGGUAGGUGGAAUUCGUGGUGUAGGGGUGAAAUGCGUAGAUAUCAAGAGGAAUACUCAUUGCGAAGGCGACCUACUGGAACAUUACUGACGCUGAUGCACGAAAGCGUGGGGAGCAAACAGGAUUAGAUACCCCAGUAGUC
This 440-nucleotide ribosomal RNA is filed under the name uncultured bacterium. RNAcentral's name for it is "partial 16S ribosomal RNA". It matches the Rfam family "Bacterial small subunit ribosomal RNA", at positions 338 to 795 of the family's 1533-position model. The record is from RNAcentral.